Non-coding RNA from Gopherus flavomarginatus (Mexican gopher tortoise), 371 nucleotides. The record is from the annotation of a RefSeq genome assembly. NCBI's taxonomy places the organism in Eukaryota, Metazoa, Chordata, Testudines, Testudinidae.
CUAGAGGUAUCAAGAUGAUCUCCCAGACUCAGCUACUCUGGCUCCUCGUGCUCUGCAUUCAGGACGCCAGUGGGCAGAUUGUGCUGACUCAGACUCCAGAAUCCCUGGAAGUGUUUCCUGGAGACAGAGUCACCAUCAACUGCAAAGCCAGUUCAAGCAUUGGUAGUGCCAUAGCCUGGUACCAACAGAAAACAGGACAAGCUCCUAAGCUCCUUAUCCACAGCGCUUCCACCCGUCCCUCUGGGAUCCCAGACCGGUUCAGUGGCAGUGGGUCUGGCACUGACUACACAUUCACCAUCAGCAGGGUUGAAGUGGAUGAUGCUGGAGAUUAUUACUGUCAGCAUUAUUACGGCACCCCUCUCACACAGUGA